Molecule: long non-coding RNA, 1267 nt
Organism: Xiphophorus hellerii (green swordtail)
Lineage: Eukaryota; Metazoa; Chordata; Actinopteri; Cyprinodontiformes; Poeciliidae
Exons: 2
Source: RefSeq, a predicted model, not a curated record
ACGACCUGGUCUAAGUAUUUGAGAAACUGGUGGGACUAUGUACAUUUUCAUGCCAAACCCUCUUUCAGCAGCAGUAGAAGAUUAUAUUAUUUUCAUCAGUAGAAUGAGAAUGGUUUGAGAUGAGGCAACAACCAAGGAAACCGAGGCUACAAUUGAAAUUGCUACGAUGGCAUUUCAAGGUCAGCAGAUCCUAGUUAUAUGAAGCACCUUUGGGAAGUGGUAGAACAAGACCUUUGCAUCAUGGAUCUGUGGCGGAGAAAUUUGUAGCAACAACUUGAUGUUCUCCUGUCAACGAGGCCCAAGGUCUCUGAGGAAAGUUUGCUGAUACUGUUCCAUGGAAAUGUAAGGCAGUCCUGAAGGAAAAAAGUGUCUUCAACCUCGUAUUUUUAAAGGUGUGUGGCUGGUCAGUGCAAGUGCAGGUAGUCAAGUAUCGAAAGGCCUAUGAAUUAGAGAAACUUUGUGAUUUCUCUAAGUAAUAUGAAUAUACUUGAAGAGUACAUCAGACUACAUGAAAGAAUUAUCCUUUGAUAGCUGCAACAUUACCCACCAAUCAAAGUUAAUGUGUAAAUAUAUAAAAAAGUUUAUAAUUGACAAGACAGUGUCAGCUUCCAGGCAACAUAAGUGCUAUAAAAUUUUCAAACAGCGGUAAACUCUUUGUUUUAGGAGAAGGAAACAGUUUCCCUCCGUCUCCUCUGCCUUUCUGCCUCAUCUAACACACAACUUGCUUUUAUUCUGUCUGAGUAGGCUCCAUCGAGCAGCACAAAAUAACACUCAAUAAUAUGACGUGAACAAACAGGUGAGGAAGUUUCAUGUUUGAUAUUCAAUUACAGCUAAAGUUAAUGUUUUUCACUCGCUGGUCACAUGACCUGUGGUGUCAUGUGUGUGUGCAAUAAUGUCACGUACACAUAUUUCAAGGCACACGACUGCAGCGCCGAGCCCUUCCUGUCUCAUUGUUUCCGUAAAUAACUUGUCUGUCGAACAUAGCUCGAUAGAUGAAACUGUGACAGCAGUAAAGCUCUCUGUGUCUGAGGCUUGUUUUCGCAUUAGGAGCCAUCGUAGCCUUGCAGCCAUGCAGAUGCCUGGGCAAGUCUGAGCUUGUCUACCCAAAGCCAUCACUCAUGAGGCAGCAUGACAGGGCAAAAAAAGGUGGACAAUUGUGUGGGGGUGACACUAAGACAGCAGCAUCUCUAAUGCAAGUGGAAUCAGAAAAGGAGAAACACUUCCUGGUUGCAGAGCAGGAAAUAAAAGCUCCACCUUUUUCUCUUUG